GUUUCCCGUAGGUGAACUGCGGCUGGAUCAUUA
This 33-nucleotide ribosomal RNA is filed under the name Pratylenchus goodeyi. Its description in RNAcentral is "partial 18S ribosomal RNA". Lineage: Eukaryota; Metazoa; Nematoda; Chromadorea; Rhabditida; Pratylenchidae. The record is from RNAcentral.